GACGAACGCUGGCGGCGUGCUUAACACAUGCAAGUCGAACGGAAAGGCCCUGCUUUUGUGGGGUGCUCGAGUGGCGAACGGGUGAGUAACACGUGAGUAACCUGCCCUUGACUUGGGGAUAACUUGAGGAAACUGGGGCUAAUACCGGAUCGGAGCUCGUGCUGCAUGGUGGGGGUUGGAAAGUUUCGGCGGUUGGGGAUGGGCUCGCGGCUUAUCAGCUUGUUGGUGGGGUAGUGGCUUACCAAGGCUUUGACGGGUAGACGGCCUGAGAGGGUGACCGGCCACGUUGGGACUGAGAUACGGCCCAGACUCCUACGGGAGGCAGCAGUGGGGAAGAUUGCACAAUGGGCUGAAGCCUGAUGCAGCAACGCCGCGUGCGGGAUGACGGCAUUCGGGUUGUAAACCGCUUUCGCCUGUGACGAAGCGUGAGUGACGGUAAUGGGUAAAGAAGCACCGGCUAACUACGUG
This 468-nucleotide ribosomal RNA is filed under the name uncultured bacterium. RNAcentral describes it as "partial 16S ribosomal RNA". It matches the Rfam family "Bacterial small subunit ribosomal RNA", at positions 28 to 507 of the family's 1533-position model. The record is from RNAcentral.